Molecule: unclassified non-coding RNA, 343 nt
Filed under: soil metagenome
Description: partial contains 5.8S ribosomal RNA, internal transcribed spacer 2, and large subunit ribosomal RNA
Rfam family: 5.8S ribosomal RNA (bases 1-120)
Source: RNAcentral
GAUGAAGAACGUAGCGAAAUGCGAUAAGUAAUGUGAAUUGCAGAAUUCAGUGAAUCAUCGAAUCUUUGAACGCACAUUGCGCCCGCCAGUAUUCUGGCGGGCAUGCCUGUUCGAGCGUCAUUUCAACCCUCAGGGCCCUUUUGGACCUGGCGUUGGGGCUCGGCCGCUACCCUGCGGCCGUCCCCGAAAGAUAGUGGCGGUCUCGCUGUAGCCUCCUCUGCGUAGUAGUUACAUCUCGCACUGGAACGCGGCGCGGCCAUGCCGUUAAACACCCACUUCUCAAGGUUGACCUCGGAUCAGGUAGGAAUACCCGCUGAACUUAAGCAUAUCAAUAAGCGGAGGA